CUAAAAUAGGUAAUUGGCCCUAAACCACCUAUGAAGACAAAGACACGGUUGUGGCAUCACCCAAAUUCAAUUUAAAAUGCUUUUUUAUUAAAUUUGUUUAUUACUUGUGGCAACAAAAGCAAUAAAAACCAUCUAUUAAUAAUUUGUUCAAAUGUAAUUAUGAAGGCCACGCCCACAUUGGAAGUCAUUGACUGGAAAUUGCAAUGCAAUUUAAAACCAAUUUAUGUUAAAAUGAAAUGAGACAGUAAAAAUUUGGUUACGGAUGAGCAGUAGUUUAACAGAAAAUCAUCAUCAUCAACUAACUUACAACACUGUCAAAACCGAAAAUAAAUAUUUGAUUGUAGCCAAUACUCAUAAUAGUCUGUUUUGAUAGAAAUCAAACUGUAGAAGUUAACAUAACAACAAUUAAUAGACUGUCACUUAACUAACAUAACUCAUAAUCCAGCAACAUAACAGACUAACCAUAAAUCAGACACUAACAAGUUUCAAAACAUUUCAACAAUAGCACCAACACUGCAAAUUUAUCCAAGCACGUGAACUUUAACCAUCCACCUUCAACACAAUAUCAUUCCAACCAUGUAGAACCAUGACAACAUGGUUUCAAUAGCAGUAAAAUAAUUCAUGACAUGCCACAUAUCAUGCUAACAUCAAUCCAAAUAACAUGACUAUCAUAUGUGCAUCAUCACUAACUGCAAAGUUCAGUUUCACAACAGCAUAAUUAACUCAUCACAUUCUCAAACAACAUCACAAUGAAAACAUUAUAGAAAGUUCACAAAAAUGAGUGUUAACCUGCACAAUUCAAUUGAAUACAUGACAUGAUAAAAAACGACUCACCUGCAAGGUUCUUUUUUUUAACCUACAAAGUUACCUAACAGGAAAACUAGGCUUCACCUGUAUCAUCUUUUUAGCAGAACCAUCAAAUUAACUUCACAUUUGCUUCACUCUAACACUAAGUAGAAAACUAACUCUAAUUAUAUUUAACAGGACUAACAUAAUCAUAACAAGUGGGCUCAAUUCAAACUAACCAACUGACAUAUUUUAGAGAUUGUAGCUAACUGCCAACUCAUUGAGUUAACAGAAUCAACUCACUUAGUUCAUCCUAACUAACUCCUAGCCUCCUCAUAACUAACUCCUAAGCUCACUCUAAACCUAAUCACUUUGAAACACUUUGAAACUCUCUGAAUUUCUCUCUCACCCUCACACAAAGCUUAAUUAGGAAGCCAUUGGAGCUUCACAUUGAAGCUCCAAAUUGUGCUUGAGCUGAUAACCACUCCCCCUACGCUUAUGCAAGCUACAAGAACUUCAAAGCAAGAAGUUUCUACAGACUAGACAUGUAGAAGAAUAAGAAAGAAGAAUCAAGGAAAAUGAAGGAAGAAGAGUGGAUAAGAUUCGAGGAGUUUACCUGAAAGAGUCUCUGGCCGGUAAGCUUCAGUGCGUCUUUUUCUUUAUUUUGUCUUCAAAAUUAUUGACAGGAUACAAUUCUUUUCCUAUGAAGUUAAAGCCCUAAACGCGUUAGAUCCAAUUUCAUCUAUCUUGCAUUUAAUUUCGGAUCUUCGAUUUAGGGUUUAUAGAGGAGUUGUCUUCGAUUUAUGGUUUCAUUUGAGAAUCGGAAAAAAUCAGGGGCAUAUAUAGGUUGAGGGUGUAUAGCUGGUUCCAAUGAUGUAGAUAGGGAGAUGAUUUGAUCUCCUCCGCCGCCUGCGCCCAUACUUUACUUAUCAAACCCUCAUUCUGCUUGGUUUACCCCCUCCUUCAUCUUAAUUAGCUUCCAUUAGUUAAAUCUCAUUUAAUUGCUAUUAAU
RNAcentral lists this long non-coding RNA (1798 nucleotides) under Lathyrus oleraceus (garden pea). RNAcentral's name for it is "Pisum sativum (pea) long non-coding RNA (PSAT_LNC020532)". Lineage: Eukaryota; Viridiplantae; Streptophyta; Magnoliopsida; Fabales; Fabaceae. The record is from RNAcentral.